CAGUGCGUGGCGUAACUUGGUAGCGUACCUGUUUUGGGUACAGGCGGUAUAGGUUCAAAUCCUGUCGCAUUGA
Molecule: transfer RNA, 73 nt
Filed under: Balamuthia mandrillaris
Lineage: Eukaryota; Discosea; Longamoebia; Balamuthiidae
Description: tRNA-Pro
Rfam family: tRNA
About the family: Transfer RNA (tRNA) molecules are approximately 80 nucleotides in length. Their secondary structure includes four short double-helical elements and three loops (D, anti-codon, and T loops). Further hydrogen bonds mediate the characteristic L-shaped molecular structure. tRNAs have two regions of fundamental functional importance: the anti-codon, which is responsible for specific mRNA codon recognition, and the 3' end, to which the tRNAs corresponding amino acid is attached (by aminoacyl-tRNA synthetases). tRNAs cope with the degeneracy of the genetic code in two manners: having more than one tRNA (with a specific anti-codon) for a particular amino acid; and 'wobble' base-pairing, i.e. permitting non-standard base-pairing at the 3rd anti-codon position.
Source: RNAcentral